UGGGGAAUCUUGCACAAUGGGCGAAAGCCUGAUGCAGCGACUCCGCGUGGAGGAAGAAGCCUUACGGGGUGUAAACUCCUUUUUUGGGGGAAGACGAAUGACGGUACCCCAAGAAUAAGGGACGGCUAACUACGUGCCAGCAGCCGCGGUAAUACGUAGGUCCCAAGCGUUAUCCGGAGUUACUGGGCGUAAAGAGUCUGUAGCUUGUAUGAUAAGUCUAAUUUUAAAAACCGGAGCUCAACUGCGGGAAGGGGUUAGAUACUGUUAUGCUAGAGGUAAUUAGGGGUUAGUGGAAUUCCCAGUGGAGGGGUGAAAUCCGUUGAUAUUGGGAGGAAUGCCGAAAGCGAAAGCAGCUAACUAUGAUUAUUCUGACGGUGAAGGACGAAAGCUUGGGUAGCAAACAGG
RNAcentral lists this ribosomal RNA (405 nucleotides) under uncultured bacterium. RNAcentral's name for it is "bacterial SSU rRNA". It matches the Rfam family "Bacterial small subunit ribosomal RNA", at positions 355 to 776 of the family's 1533-position model. The record is from RNAcentral.